UAGGGAAUAUUGGACAAUGGGUGAGAGCCUGAUCCAGCCAUGCCGCGUGCAGGAAGAAGGCGUUAUGCGUUGUAAACUGCUUUUUGCCAGGGGAUAAAAUGAGCGUGCGCGCUUAAUUGAAGGUACCUGGUGAAUAAGCCACGGCUAACUACGUGCCAGCAGCCGCGGUAAUACGUAGGUGGCGAGCGUUAUCCGGAAUCACUGGGUUUAAAGGGUGCGUAGGCGGCUGUAUAAGUCAGUGGUGAAAGGCUGUGGCUUAACCAUGGGAUUGCCAUUGAUACUGUACGGCUUGAAUUAGGAUGAGGUUGGCGGAAUGUGACAUGUAGCGGUGAAAUGCUUAGAUAUGUCAUGGAACAUCGAUUGCGAAGGCAGCUGACUGGACCUUAAUUGACGCUGAGGCGCGAAAGCGUGGGGAGCAAACAGGAUUAGAUACCCCCGUAGUCCCUGAGCGGGCUGGCAAGGCGCAU
This 467-nucleotide ribosomal RNA is filed under the name uncultured bacterium. RNAcentral's name for it is "bacterial SSU rRNA". It matches the Rfam family "Bacterial small subunit ribosomal RNA", at positions 355 to 825 of the family's 1533-position model. The record is from RNAcentral.